AUUGAACGCUGGCGGCAGGCCUAACACAUGCAAGUCGAGCGAGCGGCGGACGGGUGAGUAAUGUCUGGGAAACUGCCCGAUGGAGGGGGAUAACUACUGGAAACGGUAGCUAAUACCGCAUACUAUCGGAUGAGCCCAGAUGGGAUUAGCUAGUAGGUGGGGUAAAGGCUCACCUAGGCGACGAUCCCUAGCUGGUCUGAGAGGAUGACCAGCCACACUGGUACGGAGACAGGCCCCAGACCCCUACGGGAGGCAGCAGUGGGGAAUAUAGCGCAAUGGGCGCAAUCCGGAUGCAGCCAUGCCGCGUGGAUGAAGAGGGCCUUAGGGGUGUAAAGUACGUGCAGCGGGGAGGCGUUACCCGCAGAAGAAGCACCGGCUAACUCCGUGCCAGCAGCCGCGGUAAUUC
RNAcentral lists this ribosomal RNA (406 nucleotides) under uncultured bacterium. Its description in RNAcentral is "partial 16S ribosomal RNA". It matches the Rfam family "Bacterial small subunit ribosomal RNA", at positions 29 to 526 of the family's 1533-position model. The record is from RNAcentral.